Alligator sinensis (Chinese alligator) is the source of this 72-nucleotide non-coding RNA. The record is from Rfam. Lineage: Eukaryota; Metazoa; Chordata; Crocodylia; Alligatoridae.
GGCCCCAUGGUGCAAUGGUAGCGUGUCUGACUCCAGCUCAGAAGGUUGUGUGUUCAAAUCACACUGGGGUCA